GUCAACUCCCAAGAUAAGAGGUCAAGGAAUCUGUUGUCAAUCACACUGACCAGAAGUGGCAAGGCAAUAAUCGGAGCCCAAGCUAUGUGACAUCAAGGCUAAUACUCUUUUAGUUUAUUGACUUAUAGUUGAAUUACAAUCAACUGAACAUAUGUAAUGUGCAAAAUAUGUCAGGGACACACCCGUGAAGACAUCGCCACAAUCAAGAGGACUGAAGCCCUUGCUCUCAACCAGCUUCGACUUGUAGUAUCAAGCCCAUCCUUCUACUGGAAGAGCAGUCAGAUAUUUGAAGAGACCCACUUGUGCUUUUGAAAUGUCCUGUUCCUUAAGCCUGGCUACAGGAAAGGUGAUGAAUGCACCCUGGACAAAGCUGUGUGCCUCUCCUUCUGAUGGCUCCCCUGCUUCAAAUUCUUGUUCUGGGAGUGGCCCCACUCCCAGGCCAGGCUUCAGCAUCUCCACCUGCUAAGACCUUCCUUCCCUGUCUGUUUUCAAGGCCCUUCUCAAAUGCUUCCUCCACACAGAGGUUUCCUAGCCAAAUAAAGGCAACAUUCCUUGCAGAACACUUUGUAUAUAGCACAUGAACCUGUAUAUAUACUGGAAGAUCACUGCUCAUAAGUCACGCUGCCAUUGGGGCACUGGGAUGUUUUACUAUUAGAACUCCUGGAGGAACGUGAGGAAACUGUCACUAUUUCACAGUCGUCGGUUCUACUGGGCCAUGUCGUUGGAGAUGAUUUCCUACAGAUUUCCCUGGGUUUCACAAAAAUGUUUCGUGUUCUUAGGGACUUCUUUUGCUAUUCAAGUUUGGCUUCAAUAUUGUUAUUGCAUGAGUAGAUUUGUUGAGUGACAUAAGUUUGGGCGAAGGCUUUCCUUGAACUCUUAAUCAUUUGCACACUCAUCCUCACCCACGGUGGUGCCCGAGUUGCCAAGUGUAUUGAGGAUCCCAGCCAGGGGCACCAGUGCAAGGAUUACCAAUUAUGGACAAGAGAAUGAAACCCUCUUCUCUUACCUGCACUCUGGCAUCAGGAUGCUUAUCACCACUUUACAUACUAACACUCAACCCCCAUCAGUUGGUGCAAACUUUGAAAUCUCACUGUAAUCAUCUCUCUCCUACAUAUUUGAACGACUGCCUGCUGGAGCUCUAACGGGUUCACUUACCUUUCUGUGAGAGAGAGAGGCGGAGAGAGAGGAAGAGAGAGAAUCUCAAGC
Herpailurus yagouaroundi (jaguarundi) is the source of this 1206-nucleotide long non-coding RNA. RefSeq lists it as uncharacterized. The transcript is spliced from 3 exons. The record is from RefSeq and is a predicted model, not a curated record. NCBI's taxonomy places the organism in Eukaryota, Metazoa, Chordata, Mammalia, Carnivora, Felidae.